Molecule: ribosomal RNA, 403 nt
Filed under: Verrucomicrobiota bacterium
Lineage: Bacteria; Pseudomonadati; Verrucomicrobiota
Description: Verrucomicrobia bacterium partial 16S ribosomal RNA
Rfam family: Bacterial small subunit ribosomal RNA
Source: RNAcentral
UGGGGAAUAUUGCACAAUGGGCGCAAGCCUGAUGCAGCAACGCCGCGUGAACGAUGAAGGUCUUCGGAUCGUAAAGUUCUGUUGCAGGGGAAGAUAAUGACGGUACCCUGUGAGGAAGCCCCGGCUAACUACGUGCCAGCAGCCGCGGUAAUACGUAGGGGGCUAGCGUUAUCCGGAUUUACUGGGCGUAAAUGGUGCGUAGGUGGUCUUUCAAGUCGGUGGUUAAAGGCUACGGCUCAACCGUAGUUAGCCUCCGAAACUGGAAGACUUGAGUGCAGGAGAGGAAAGUGGAAUUCCCAGUGUAGCGGUGAAAUGCGUAGAUAUUGGGAGGAACACCAGUAGCGAAGGCGGCUUUCUGGACUGCAACUGACACUGAGGCACGAAAGCGUGGGUAGCAAACAGG